CGUGUAGGCGGUUGGGUAUGUCCGAUGUGAAAUCCCUCGGCUAAACUGAGGAACUGCACCGGAAACUACCUGACUAGAGUGCGAGAGAGGGUGGCGGAAUUCCUAGUGUAGAGGUGAAAUUCGUAGAUACUAGGAGGAACACCGGAGGCGAAGGCGGCCACCUGGCUCGCUACUGACGCUGAGACGCGAAAGCGUGGGGAGCAAACA
Molecule: ribosomal RNA, 207 nt
Filed under: uncultured bacterium
Lineage: Bacteria
Description: partial 16S ribosomal RNA
Rfam family: Bacterial small subunit ribosomal RNA
Source: RNAcentral